ACGAACGCUGGCGGCGUGCUUAACACAUGCAAGUCGAGCGGUAAGGCUCCUUCGGGAGUACACGAGCGGCGAACGGGUGAGUAACACGUGAGCAACCUGCCCUUCUCAUCGGAAUAAGCGUUGGAAACGACGUCUAAUGCCGAAUAUGACUUCGGACCGCAUGGUCUGAAGUGGAAAGCUCCGGCGGAGAAGGAUGGGCUCGCGGCCUAUCAGGUAGUUGGUGAGGUAACGGCUCACCAAGCCGACGACGGGUAGCCGGCCUGAGAGGGUGACCGGCCACACUGGGACUGAGACACGGCCCAGACUCCUACGGGAGGCAGCAGUGGGGAAUAUUGGACAAUGGGCGAAAGCCUGAUCCAGCAACGCCGCGUGAGGGAUGACGGCCUUCGGGUUGUAAACCUCUUUCAGCAGGGACGAAGCGAAAGUGACGGUACCUGCAGAAGAAGGACCGGCCAACUACGU
RNAcentral lists this ribosomal RNA (462 nucleotides) under uncultured bacterium. RNAcentral describes it as "bacterial SSU rRNA". It matches the Rfam family "Bacterial small subunit ribosomal RNA", at positions 29 to 506 of the family's 1533-position model. The record is from RNAcentral.